AGUCGAGCGAGCUUGCCUAGAUGAUUUUAGUGCUUGCACUAAAUGAAACUAGAUACAAGCGAGCGGCGGACGGGUGAGUAACACGUGGGUAACCUGCCCAAGAGACUGGGAUAACACCUGGAAACAGAUACUAAUACCGGAUAACAACACUAGACGCAUGUCUAGAGUUUGAAAGAUGGUUCUGCUAUCACUCUUGGAUGGACCUGCGGUGCAUUAGCUAGUUGGUAAGGUAACGGCUUACCAAGGCAAUGAUGCAUAGCCGAGUUGAGAGACUGAUCGGCCACAUUGGGACUGAGACACGGCCCAAACUCCUACGGGAGGCAGCAGUAGGGAAUCUUCCACAAUGGACGAAAGUCUGAUGGAGCAACGCCGCGUGAGUGAAGAAGGGUUUCGGCUCGUAAAGCUCUGUUGGUAGUGAAGAAAGAUAGAGGUAGUAACUGGCCUUUAUUUGACGGUAAUUACUUAGAAAGUCACGGCUAACUACGUGCCAGCAGCCGCGGUAAUACGUAGGUGGCAAGCGUUGUCCGGAUUUAUUGGGCGUAAAGCGAGUGCAGGCGGUUCAAUAAGUCUGAUGUGAAAGCCUUCGGCUCAACCGGAGAAUUGCAUCAGAAACUGUUGAACUUGAGUGCAGAAGAGGAGAGUGGAACUCCAUGUGUAGCGGUGGAAUGCGUAGAUAUAUGGAAGAACACCAGUGGCGAAGGCGGCUCUCUGGUCUGCAACUGACGCUGAGGCUCGAAAGCAUGGGUAGCGAACAG
RNAcentral lists this ribosomal RNA (755 nucleotides) under uncultured bacterium. Its description in RNAcentral is "bacterial SSU rRNA". It matches the Rfam family "Bacterial small subunit ribosomal RNA", at positions 60 to 775 of the family's 1533-position model. The record is from RNAcentral.